GACGAACGCUGGCGGCGUGCUUAACACAUGCAAGUCGAACGGAAAGGCCCUGCUUUUGUGGGGUGCUCGAGUGGCGAACGGGUGAGUAACACGUGAGUAACCUGCCCUUGACUUUGGGAUAACUUCAGGAAACUGGGGCUAAUACCGGUUAGGAGCUCCUGCUGCAUGGUGGGGGUUGGAAAGUUUCGGCGGUUGGGGAUGGACUCGCGGCUUAUCAGCUUGUUGGUGGAGUAGUGGCUUACCAAGGCUUUGACGGGUAGCCGGCCUGAGAGGGUGACCGGCCACAUUGGGACUGAGAUACGGCCCAGACUCCUACGGGAGGCAGCAGUGGGGAAUAUUGCACAAUGGGCGGAAGCCUGAUGCAGCAACGCCGCGUGCGGGAUGACGGCCUUCGGGUUGUAAACCGCUUUCGCCUGUGACGAAGCGUGAGUGACGGUAAUGGGUAAAGAAGCACCGGCUAACUACGUG
This 468-nucleotide ribosomal RNA is filed under the name uncultured bacterium. RNAcentral describes it as "partial 16S ribosomal RNA". It matches the Rfam family "Bacterial small subunit ribosomal RNA", at positions 28 to 507 of the family's 1533-position model. The record is from RNAcentral.